RNAcentral lists this ribosomal RNA (254 nucleotides) under uncultured bacterium. RNAcentral describes it as "partial 16S ribosomal RNA". It matches the Rfam family "Bacterial small subunit ribosomal RNA", at positions 524 to 777 of the family's 1533-position model. The record is from RNAcentral.
UACGUAGGGUGCAAGCGUUGUCCGGAAUUAUUGGGCGUAAAGAGCUCGUAGGCGGUUUGUCGCGUCUGCUGUGAAAACUCGGGGCUUAACUCCGGGCCUGCAGUGGGUACGGGCAGACUAGAGUGCGGUAGGGGAGACUGGAAUUCCUGGUGUAGCGGUGAAAUGCGCAGAUAUCAGGAGGAACACCAAUAGCGAAGGCAGCUCGCUGGGACGGUACUGACGCUAAGGCGCGAAAGCGUGGGGAGCGAACGAGG